RNAcentral lists this ribosomal RNA (261 nucleotides) under uncultured bacterium. RNAcentral's name for it is "partial 16S ribosomal RNA". It matches the Rfam family "Bacterial small subunit ribosomal RNA", at positions 793 to 1055 of the family's 1533-position model. The record is from RNAcentral.
GUCCACGCCGUAAACGAUGUCUACUAGCCGUUGGAGUCCUUGAGGCUUUAGUGGCGCAGCUAACGCACUAAGUAGACCGCCUGGGAGUACGGUCGCAAGAUUAAAACUCAAAUGAAUUGACGGGGCCCGCACAAGCGGUGGAGCAUGUGGUUUAAUUCGACGCAACGCGAAGAACCUUACCAGGUCUUGACAUCUAGAGAACUUGCCAGAGAUGGCUUGGUGCCUUCGGGAACUCUAAGACAGGUGCUGCAUGGCUGUCGU